This 497-nucleotide ribosomal RNA is filed under the name uncultured bacterium. RNAcentral describes it as "partial 16S ribosomal RNA". It matches the Rfam family "Bacterial small subunit ribosomal RNA", at positions 28 to 507 of the family's 1533-position model. The record is from RNAcentral.
GAUGAACGCUGGCGGCGUGCCUAAUACAUGCAAGUCGAGCGAACGGACGAGAAGCUUGCUUCUCUGAUGUUAGCGGCGGACGGGUGAGUAACACGUGGAUAACCUACCUAUAAGAAUGGGAUAACUUCGGGAAACCGGAGCUAAUACCGGAUAAUAUUUUGAACCGCAUGGUUCAAAAGUGAAAGACGGUCUUGAUGUCACUUAUAGAUGGAUCCGCGCUGCAUUAGCUAGUUGGUAAGGUAACGGCUUACCAAGGCAACGAUGCAUAGCCGACCUGAGAGGGUGAUCGGCCACACUGGAACUGAGACACGGUCCAGACUCCUACGGGAGGCAGCAGUAGGGAAUCUUCCGCAAUGGGCGAAAGCCUGACGGAGCAACGCCGCGUGAGUGAUGAAGGUCUUCGGAUCGUAAAACUCUGUUAUUAGGGAAGAACAUAUGUGUAAGUAACUGUGCACAUCUUGACGGUACCUAAUCAGAAAGCCACGGCUAACUACGUG